Molecule: RNA transcript, 1910 nt
Organism: Stomoxys calcitrans (stable fly)
Lineage: Eukaryota; Metazoa; Arthropoda; Insecta; Diptera; Muscidae
Gene: Kdm4A
Gene name: probable lysine-specific demethylase 4A
Exons: 6
Source: RefSeq, a predicted model, not a curated record
AAUAUAAUAAUGUCAAAUUAAAUUAAGGCUUCUAAACAUGGUAGUGAAAAUCGUAAUCAGCUGGUUUUGUUUUUGAAACAAAUUUAGAAAACAAUAUGUCUAGCAAAUCCGGCGAUAGUAUUAAAAAAAUACCAAGAAUUUUAACUUUCCGGCCAUCGUAUGAUGAAUUCAAAAACUUUUCAUCUUACAUUGAUUACAUAGAAUCUAGGGGCGCACAUCGGGCAGGUCUUGCAAAAAUAAUACCACCUCCCGAAUGGCGCCCAAGAAAAGGUGGAUACGAUAUAGAUCAUAUAAAUAUGACCAUUCCAGCUCCGAUAUCUCAGGUUGUGUCAGGGAAACAGGGAGAGUAUCAGCAAAUAAAUGUCCUAAAAAGAUCCAUGACGUUGCGCCAAUUUAAGGAACUUGCCGAAUCGGAACGGUAUCAGACACCAAAGCAUUUCGACUACGACGAUUUAGAACGUAAAUAUUGGAAAAAUGUCACCUAUAUUGCUCCGCUUUAUGCUGCUGACAUAAAAGGUUCUUUAAGCGACGACGAUUUAAAGGUGUGGAAUAUCGAUCGUUUGGAAACAAUACUAGACUAUGUGAACAAAGACUACGGUAUUGAAAUAGAUGGUGUAAAUACCGCCUAUUUAUAUUUUGGCAUGUGGAAGAGUUCAUUUGCUUGGCAUACUGAGGACAUGGAUUUAUACUCAAUUAACUAUCUUCAUUUUGGAGCUCCCAAAACAUGGUAUGCAAUUCCACCUGCUUAUGGACGUAAUCUGGAGAAAUUGGCCAAUCGAAUUUUUUACGAAAACUAUCAGAACUGCAAUUCUCAUUUGCGGCAUAAAAUGACACUUAUUAGUCCUCAGGUUUUAAAGCAAUAUAAAAUUCCCUAUAAUCGUAUCACUCAGGAAGCAGGAGAAAUUAUGAUAACUUUUCCAUAUGGAUAUCAUGCUGGUUUUAAUCAUGGGUUUAACGGAGCUGAAUCGACAAACUUUGCUUCUAAGCGAUGGAUAGAAUAUGGCAAAAGGGCUUCAAUAUGUCAUUGUCGCAAAGACAUGGUGAAGAUAUCUAUGGAAACAUUUGUGAAAAGGUUUCAACCUGAUCGUUACGAAAGCUGGUUAAAUGGAGUUGAUUACGGAUGUCACCCUGAAGAACCAGAUAAAAUUUAUGCUGCACCUCCUCCAACCAUUAACAAGUAUACAUAUUUGAAAAGAAAAUCUUCUGAAAGUUCCGAGUUAUCCCAAAAUUCGUGUUGUAAGAAAACCCAUCCACAAAAACGCGGUUGUUCGUUAGCUCUAGGAGAAGACUCCUUAACACCAAACGAAGAAUUACAAAGCAACGUCUUUAUAUCAUGUAGUUUGACAGCGAAGCAUCUUUUUUUGAAAAAAGUUCCAACUUUGAAACUUCACAAACUUGAUACAAGUGAAUUGGGUCUACAAAAACAAAUGGACUUUAGCAACGUUAUAGCAGAACAAUUACAACAAAUUUGGAAAGACCUGCCAUGUCCCAAUCCUGGAGAAAAUCUUCUUACAGAUGGUUCUGUUCGACAUCCAGAUCUAGGAACUCUGCGACUUUGACGGGGUGCGUCCGGAGCAGGGAUGCCAACUUAGCGCUUUUCGCACUAGAUUUGGUCCUUUUAAGGACACGCAAAACCCGAAAAGGAAUCCCAAUUUUACUGUCGAGUUUUGCCACGGCGAGCUUUAGAGAAGUCUAUUUCAUCUAUCAACGUUUUUUAAAUUUCCCACAAACAUUCCAUAAAAGAACAGGAUAUACUUCUCUCAAAUAAUUUUAAGUAUAAUAGUUGGACCACGCCUCAUCUGUAAGGCGAAGAGAAAAUGCAUUUCUAUCACUAAUCAUUAAAUAACGCAUAGAAGUCAUAAAUCAUACAUAAGGAAAUAACACCCACAUCCAAUUGUGACGUCCAUAUU